RNAcentral lists this ribosomal RNA (699 nucleotides) under uncultured fungus. RNAcentral describes it as "SSU rRNA". It matches the Rfam family "Eukaryotic small subunit ribosomal RNA", at positions 392 to 1092 of the family's 1831-position model. Lineage: Eukaryota; Fungi. The record is from RNAcentral.
GAGCCUGAGAAACGGCUACCACAUCCAAGGAUGGCAGCAGGCGCGCAAAUUACCCAAUCCCGACACGGGGAGGUAGUGACAAUAAAUAACAAUACGGGGUUCUUUCGGAUCUCGUAAUUGGAAUGAGUACAAUUUAAAUCUCUUAACGAGGAACAAUUGGAGGGCAGGUCUGGUGCCAGCAGCCGCGGUAAUUCCAGCUCCAAUAGCGUAUAUUAAAGUUGUUGCAGUUAAAAAGCUCGUAGUUGAAUUUCGGGGUUAGUAGGUUGGUCAUGCCUCUGGUAUGUACUGAUCUCACUGAUUCCUCCUUCCUGAUGAACCGUAAUGCCAUUAAUUUGGUGUUGCGGGGAAUUUGGACUGUUACUUUGAAAAAAUUAGAGUGUUUAAAGCAAGCUAACGCUUGAAUACAUUAGCAUGGAAUAAUGAAAUAGGACGUUCGAUCCUAUUUUGUUGGUUUCUAGGAUUGACGUAAUGAUUAAUAGGGAUAGUUGGGGGCAUUAGUAUUCAAUUGUCAGAGGUGAAAUUCUUGGAUUUAUUGAAGACUAACUACUGCGAAAGCAUUUGCCAAGGAUGUUUUCAUUAAUCAAGAACGAAAGUUAGGGGAUCGAAGACGAUCAGAUACCGUCGUAGUCUUAACCAUAAACUAUGCCGACUAGGGAUCGGAUGAUGUUAAUUUUUUAAUGACUCAUUCGGCGCCUUACG